Molecule: ribosomal RNA, 1101 nt
Filed under: Triticum aestivum (bread wheat)
Lineage: Eukaryota; Viridiplantae; Streptophyta; Magnoliopsida; Poales; Poaceae
Description: partial small subunit ribosomal RNA
Source: RNAcentral
AUGGAUGUCGCCGUGGUGAAGCAACUCAGGCGGAUCCGCACGCUGGGCCGCGGCGCGUCCGGCGCUGUCGUGUGGCUCGCGUCCGACGAGGCCUCCGGAGAGCUCCUGGCCGUCAAGUCUGCCGCCGCCGGUGGCGCGGCGCAGCUGGAGCGCGAGGGGAGCGUGCUAACCGGGCUCUGCUCGCCGCACAUCAUCCCCUGCCUCGGCUCCCGCGCCGCGGAAUGCGGUGAGUACCAGCUCUUCCUCGAGUUCGCGCCCGGCGGCUCGCUCGCGGACGAGGCCGCCAGGAGCGGGGGCUGCCUCCCGGAGCCCGCCAUCCGGGCGUACGCCGGGGACGUGGCCAGGGGGCUGGAGUACCUCCAUGCGAGGUCGCUGGUCCACGGGGAGGUGAAGGCACGGAACGUGGUGAUCGGCGGCGACGGCCGCGCCAGGCUCACCGACUUCGGCUGCGCGAGGGCCGUGGACUCCCUGCUCCCGAUGGGCGGCACGCCGGCGUUCAUGGCGCCGGAGGUCGCGCGCGGCGAGGAGCAGGGGCCGGCGUCCGACGUGUGGGCGCUCGGCUGCACCGUCGUCGAGAUGGCCACUGGCCGCGCGCCAUGGAGCGACAUGAACGAUCUGCUCGCGGCCGUGCACCGGAUCGGGUACACCGCCGCCGUGCCGGAGGAGGCAGCCCAGCGACAGGUCCACCGGAGCGCAGCUCUUGGAUCACCGUUCGUUGCUUCCGCCGCUGCCGCCGGCGACUACAAGGCCGCGCCGGCGAAGCAACAAUACACGUCUCCCAAGAGCACGCUGCAGGACGCACUCUGGGACUCGGACACCGACGACGAGGACGCGGACGAAACGCCGGCCGAGAGGAUCGGGGCAUUGGCCUGCGGCAACUCGGCCUUGCCGGACUGGGACUCGGAAGAUGGCUGGAUCGAUGUGUGCCACCAGGUCCACAGAGGCGCUGACUCGCCGCCGGCCGAUGUGGGUUACGACCUCGUUUGGCCCGAAGAAUCAGACGCAGAGCGCGAGCCGUCUGCGGUUGCUGCUGACGACAGCAACGGCAUACCGCGCAAUGCAGUGGUGACCGACUCUUCCAUUUGGCAGUACAGUCUGUAG